This 468-nucleotide ribosomal RNA is filed under the name uncultured bacterium. RNAcentral's name for it is "partial 16S ribosomal RNA". It matches the Rfam family "Bacterial small subunit ribosomal RNA", at positions 28 to 507 of the family's 1533-position model. The record is from RNAcentral.
GACGAACGCUGGCGGCGUGCUUAACACAUGCAAGUCGAACGGAAAGGCCCUGCUUUUGUGGGGUGCUCGAGUGGCGAACGGGUGAGUAACACGUGAGUAACCUGCCCUUGACUUUGGGAUAACUUCAGGAAACUGGGGAUAAUACCGGAUAGGAGCUCCUGCUGCAUGGUGGGGGUUGGAAAGUUUCGGCGGUUGGGGAUGGACUCGCGGCUUAUCAGCUUGUUGGUGGGGUAGUGGCUUACCAAGGCGUUGACGGGUAGCCGGCCUGAGAGGGUGACCGGCCACAUUGGGACUGAGAUACGGCCCAGACUCCUUCGGGAGGCAGCAGUGGGGAAUAUUGCACAAUGGGCGGAAGCCUGAUGCAGCAACGCCGCGUGCGGGAUGACGGCCUUCGGGUUGUAAACCGCUUUCGCCUGUGACGAAGCGUGAGUGACGGUAAUGUGUAAAGAAGCACCGGCUAACUACGUG